UCCUCAGACACAGAGACAUAGCUAGAAGGCUGACCUGGCUCAGUACGGUUUCAGGAAUGUGACUCGCAGACUGCCCACAUCUGCUCCACCAUGCUUCAGGGAAUCCAGCCUGCCCUGCUCCCUUCUCCUCUUACCAGCCAAGUACAAGAAGUAGAGAACAGUUCGGACUCCAACACUGUCCAGGGAGAUCCAGCCCCUGUUGAGCCUUCUGAGGAGCCACAGAGGCAGCUUGGUGUGGACAAAAAGGAGAAGAGCUUUACAGUUGGAUAGAUUCUGAUGCUGACUUUCCGAGUGCAGGCUCGAAGCACUAUGUGACUCCAGUCAUCCUUCUUCACCUAACCCAUCCAUGUCUCUG
Long non-coding RNA from Callithrix jacchus (white-tufted-ear marmoset), 355 nucleotides. The record is from Ensembl. NCBI's taxonomy places the organism in Eukaryota, Metazoa, Chordata, Mammalia, Primates, Cebidae.